UCUCCGUUGGUGAACCAGCGGAGGGAUCAUUACCGAGCUCCAGCAACUCCCAACCCUUGCGAACCGUACCCCAGUCUGUUCUCGUUGCUUCCGGCAGGCGGGGGGGGCCACCUGGCCCCUCCCCCUGCCGGGGGCGGCGGGCCCUCUGAACCUUUGUAUCUCAACCACUGAAACCCGUCUGAGCAAAACAAAAAAUAAUCAAAACUUUCAACAACGGAUCUCUUGGCUCUG
Molecule: unclassified non-coding RNA, 231 nt
Filed under: plant metagenome
Description: partial contains small subunit ribosomal RNA, internal transcribed spacer 1, and 5.8S ribosomal RNA
Source: RNAcentral